This 467-nucleotide ribosomal RNA is filed under the name uncultured bacterium. RNAcentral describes it as "partial 16S ribosomal RNA". It matches the Rfam family "Bacterial small subunit ribosomal RNA", at positions 28 to 506 of the family's 1533-position model. The record is from RNAcentral.
GACGAACGCUGGCGGCGUGCUUAACACAUGCAAGUCGAACGGAAAGGCUCCAGCUUGCUGGAGUACUCGAGUGGCGAACGGGUGAGUAACACGUGGGUGAUCUGCCCUGCACUUCGGGAUAAGCCUGGGAAACUGGGUCUAAUACCGGAUAGGACCGCACUUUGGUGUGUGUGGUGGACAGGUUUUUCUGGUGUGGGAUGAGCUCGCGGCCUAUCGGUUUGUUGGUGGGGUAAUGGCCUACCAAGACGGCGACGGGUAGCCGGCCUGAGAGGGUGGACGGUCACAUUGGGACUGAGAUACGGCCCAGACUCCUACGGGAGGCAGCAGUGGGGAAUAUUGCACAAUGGGGGAAACCCUGAUGCAGCGACGCCGCGUGGGGGAUGAAGGCCUGCGGGUUGUAAACUCCUUUCGCUAGGGACGAAGCUUUUUGUGACGGUACCUGGAGAAGAAGCACCGGCUAACUACGU